AGUGAACGCUGGCGGUAGGCCUAACACAUGCGAGUCGAACGGCAGCACAGUAAGAGCUUGCUCUUACGGGUGGCGAGUGGCGGACGGGUGAGGAAUACAUCGGAAUCUACUUUUUCGUGGGGGAUAACGUAGGGAAACUUACGCUAAUACCGCAUACGACCUACGGGUGAAAGCAGGGGAUCUUCGGACCUUGCGCGAUUGAAUGAGCCGAUGUCGGAUUAGCUAGUUGGCGGGGUAAAGGCCCACCAAGGCGACGAUCCGUAGCUGGUCUGAGAGGAUGAUCAGCCACACUGGAACUGAGACACGGUCCAGACUCCUACGGGAGGCAGCAGUGGGGAAUAUUGGACAAUGGGCGCAAGCCUGAUCCAGCCAUACCGCGUGGGUGAAGAAGGCCUUCGGGUUGUAAAGCCCUUUUGUUGGGAAAGAAAAGCAGCAGGUUAAUACCGCGCUGUUCUGACGGUACCCAAAGAAUAAGCACCGGCUAACUUCGUG
Molecule: ribosomal RNA, 492 nt
Filed under: uncultured bacterium
Lineage: Bacteria
Description: partial 16S ribosomal RNA
Rfam family: Bacterial small subunit ribosomal RNA
Source: RNAcentral